RNAcentral lists this ribosomal RNA (449 nucleotides) under uncultured bacterium. RNAcentral describes it as "bacterial SSU rRNA". It matches the Rfam family "Bacterial small subunit ribosomal RNA", at positions 354 to 796 of the family's 1533-position model. The record is from RNAcentral.
GUGGGGAAUAUUGGACAAUGGGCGAAAGCCUGAUCCAGCAACGCCGCGUGAGUGAUGAAGGCCUUCGGGUUGUAAAGCUCUGUCGGUUGGAACGAAUAAGGGACACCUAACACGUGUCCCGAUGACGGUACCAGCAAAGGAAGCACCGGCUAACUCUGUGCCAGCAGCCGCGGUAAUACAGAGGGUGCUAGCGUUGUUCGGAAUCACUGGGCGUAAAGCGCGUGUAGGCGGCGGGGUGUGUCCUGUGUGAAAUCCCUCGGCUCAACUGGGGAAGUGCAUGGGAAACUACUCUGCUAGAGUGCGAAAGAGGGUGGCGGAAUUCCUGGUGUAGAGGUGAAAUUCGUAGAUACCAGGAGGAACACCGGCGGCGAAGGCGGCCACCUGGGUCGUAACUGACGCUGAUACGCGACAGCGUGGGGAGCAAACAGGAUUAGAAACCCGGGUAGUCC